RNAcentral lists this ribosomal RNA (460 nucleotides) under uncultured bacterium. Its description in RNAcentral is "partial 16S ribosomal RNA". It matches the Rfam family "Bacterial small subunit ribosomal RNA", at positions 338 to 795 of the family's 1533-position model. The record is from RNAcentral.
CCUACGUGCGGCAGCAGUGAGGAAUAUUGGUCAAUGGGCGCGAGCCUGAACCAGCCAAGUAGCGUGAAGGAUGACUGCCCUACGGGUUGUAAACUUCUUUUAUAAAGGAAUAAAGUGAGGCACGUGUGCCUUUUUGUAUGUACUUUAUGAAUAAGGAUCGGCUAACUCCGUGCCAGCAGCCGCGGUAAUACGGAGGAUCCGAGCGUUAUCCGGAUUUAUUGGGUUUAAAGGGAGCGUAGAUGGGUUGUUAAGUCAGUUGUGAAAGUUUGCGGCUCAACCGUAAAAUUGCAAUUGAUACUGGCAGUCUUGAGUACAGUUGAGGUAGGCGCAAUUCGUGGUGUAGCGGUGAAAUGCUUAGAUAUCACGAAGAACUCCGAUUGCGAAGGCAGCUUACUAAACUGCCACUGACAUUGAUGCUCGAAAGUGUGGGUAUCAAACAGGAUUAGAUACCCUAGUAGUC